Humulus lupulus (European hop) is the source of this 316-nucleotide long non-coding RNA. RefSeq lists it as uncharacterized. The record is from RefSeq and is a predicted model, not a curated record. Lineage: Eukaryota; Viridiplantae; Streptophyta; Magnoliopsida; Rosales; Cannabaceae. The transcript has 3 exons.
UCUCUCGUAUUUCUCCUGAAGAUGAACCCAAGUGUCCGGUCAUCAUUUUCAUCAAUUCCAAAAGUGGAGGCCAACUUGGUGGUGAUCUUCUUGUGACCUAUAGGUCUCUUCUCAACGAAAACCAGGUUUUUGAUUUGGGGGAAGAAGGUCCGGAUAAGAUUUUGCGUCGAAUUUUUGUUAAUCUUGGAAAGUUGCAGAGGGAAGGAGAUAAGUUUGCCACUCAUAUCCAGGAGAACUUGAGAUUAAUUGUUGCAGGUGGUGAUGGAACCGCAGGGUGGCUUCUUGGAGUUUUUUAUGAUCUCAAGUUAUCUCAUCC